UACGUAGGGGCCUAGCGUUGUCCGGAUUUAUUGGGCGUAAAGAGCGUGUAGGCGGCCCGAUAAGUCCGCUGUGAAAGUCCAGGGCUCAACCCUGGAAUGCCGGUGGAAACUGUCGGGCUAGAGUUCGGAAGAGGUGAGUGGAAUUCCUGGUGUAGCGGUGAAGUGCGCAGAUAUCGGGAGGAACACCAGUGGCGAAGGCGGCCUUCUGGACCAGUACUGACGCUCAUGCACGAAAGCGUGGGGAGCAAACAGG
RNAcentral lists this ribosomal RNA (253 nucleotides) under uncultured bacterium. RNAcentral describes it as "partial 16S ribosomal RNA". It matches the Rfam family "Bacterial small subunit ribosomal RNA", at positions 524 to 776 of the family's 1533-position model. The record is from RNAcentral.